AACUCAACUCCAUUGUCCAUCCUCCCUCUUGAAAUGUCACCCCUUCAACUGUCCUUCUAUCGUUACCCGAAAAACGAAAAAAAAAAAAAAAAAAAAAAAAAGAUAUCUGUCCUUCUAAGUUUUAUGAAAAUACCCUUCGAAGGAGGAACGGUAGUGGAUUGCAGAGAGCCAGAAAAAGGAUGGGCGAAGAACAGGCGGAUGGGAGCGGAUGAGAGAGGUUUGAGGUUUUGUAAGGAUGGGGUAGGAUUCCACACCGAAAUUGGGAUGUAUUUGAAGAGGAGUAAGAUUGGUGAAUCUCACUCACCCUAUUCAUUCUCUCUCUAAUGCUUACUCCCGUAACGCUUUCUCAGAUUCUUCCCUUUCUUCAGGCCACCGGAGGCCGGUUCCUCUUCUCUUGAGUACAUACUACGUUGCAGCAGUGGGUGAACAUGCAGCCAAUGGAUGACAGAAUUGUUCUCAAUCAACAAAUCCAGACCUGUCUGAAACUUCCAGCGUCACCGGAGCCCCCACAUAGCCAAAACCGUUGUCAAAGUGAAGACGAAGAAGACAUGAUCGGUUUCUCCCUCGGCUUGGGUGUUAUCUUCCGGAAGAUCAUCUUCAACCUUUCCGGUGCCAGAUUCGUCAGAAAACAAUUUCUCUUAUCUUUCCCUUUUUCCCGGAUUCCCGUGUGGGAUUGGUACUUCCAGGAAGGUCUACAACAUUGUCAAAACGUGUAUCAGGAACCUAACCUACCCGGCAAGGAUAUGCGGUGAUGGGAAUUCAACAGAAAUAGUCGGAUUUCAGUAUAGAUAGUCUUCAAGGUCCAAUUGAGUGGUUGGAGCACUUGGAUUAUGGUGCCAAGUUUAUACCUGAAUAUCGCUGCAAGAGUGAAUUCUAGAGCCAAGAGCCAGAGGUGUAUGUAUUGUGUUUGUCAUCUGGGCUCCAAAAUGUAAACUGUCUGUUUCUUAUGAAGUGGUCUGCGUGUAUUCCUGCUCAAAUCUGCUUUGCAGGUCCUGAUGAUAUUGCCUUCUAUAUAGUUUAAUUAUCCAAAGAGUAUGGAACUUGGACAUUAGAUCGACAGAAGUAUGACGGUGUGAGAAAAUGCUUUACCAUUUGUGUGAUACAAUUUGACUGUUUAUUCUCCCAAUGCAUAAGAAAAAUAAGCUAUGGAA
RNA transcript from Macadamia integrifolia, 1151 nucleotides. RefSeq lists it as uncharacterized. The record is from RefSeq and is a predicted model, not a curated record. The transcript is spliced from 3 exons. Lineage: Eukaryota; Viridiplantae; Streptophyta; Magnoliopsida; Proteales; Proteaceae.